AAAGAAAAGCUGAUUUUUCUGGCUGGUUAGACUUUAUUGAAUUCCUAGUUGUUCAUCAGUCUUCAAAUCUAGGACCACAAUCUGAGAAGGAAAAACCCCUCCUGGUCAAUAAAGAGACAACACAUCAGUGCUCCCUCAAAAGAAUCCCAGGAAGGAGGACUGAGGCUUCCCCCUGGAUGGAGGAGAAGAUGGAAGCUCAUCAGCAGUGAAGGACUUCUUCUAGCACAGUAUAACCUUGGAUUCAAGAGGUAAUGGAGGAGAUCUCAUGUGCAGAGGAGGUAGAAAAAAGGGUGGAGGAAUCCCUCACUUCAGACGAGAUUAGGAAGGUGCUUUGGAUACAAGCAUAUUUCCAGAACAAACUAUGCUCAAAAACCAAGAUUUCACUGUAUUUAGAUGCAAACAGAGCCGCUGCUUCUGUCUGCCAGAAGCUUUUUCUCUGUAGGAAGAAAACACAGACAAGAGGGACCAAGAUGAAAUCUGCGAAGUAUGUAGCGAGGUGAAAUGAAAAUAACUUUAGGGAGACCUUUCCACAGGGUAAGUGACCAACAAUUAAUAUGCUAACACUGCCAUUGUUCAACUGUUCGAAGAUGCAGGUUUUUCACAUUUUAGUAUCUUGGCAGUGAGGAUUCUUUUGGGGGGGGUACCGGGGAUUGAACUCGCGCCCUUGCGCUUGUGAGGCAGGCACCGAAACCACUGAGCUAAAUCCCCAGCCCAGGAUUCUUCUUUAAACUAAGAAUAUGCCCAUAUUAGGUGGAAAUGGUUCACUCUUUUCUCUCUCCAUCAGGC
This 786-nucleotide long non-coding RNA is filed under the name Fukomys damarensis (Damara mole-rat). RNAcentral's name for it is "lncRNA (ENSFDAG00000026736.1)". Lineage: Eukaryota; Metazoa; Chordata; Mammalia; Rodentia; Bathyergidae. The record is from RNAcentral.